Ostrea edulis (European flat oyster) is the source of this 1078-nucleotide long non-coding RNA. RefSeq lists it as uncharacterized. The record is from RefSeq and is a predicted model, not a curated record. The transcript has 2 exons. Lineage: Eukaryota; Metazoa; Mollusca; Bivalvia; Ostreida; Ostreidae.
CGAUUUUUUGCAUUUGAGAAGCUGUAAACGAUGUUUGACGGUUGAUUACAGCCGAUAAAUGGACUUUAUUUCCAGUUCACUAUAACGAUGCGAGAGGUGAUGUAGAUUUUACACCACAGAUAGUAUAUAAGGACCCAAUCGAGCCAUGGAUCUUCAGUUUAUCAGACACGCUACAAGCAAACAGAAGAGAAGACUUGAAACUCAAGCGAAUUUUGCAGUGACUUAUAACUCCUAUUACAAAGGGAAAACUUUACCAGAAGUUUAUAUUUUAAUUCCUUGGAAAAUACUCUGCUGAUUUAAAAAGAAAAAGAAAAGAAGAUGGCCAUUGUUUUACCAAAAGAAUUCCAGAUUGAUUGCGUCUUGGAAAGCUAUCAAGAACGGGAGACCGGGCUCGGUGUCUCAACGAAGCUGAACAGCUUCAAAAGCAACAUCUCAAGUUUGGCUCUAGUGCCACCGCAGAGCAUCUUAAACGUCUCCGACGUCCAGCAGUCGCAUAUUCUCCCCCCAAGGAGGUAAAAGAUGAAAAGACUUGAACUUGAAAGAAUGUGUUCAUCACAGCCGGUGUCCAAAGUUCUCCAACAAUGGAAAACGGUGCUGAGACUACGUGUUCAUCUUCGAGUAAGAGAAACCAGUUUGCGGGAAGAUAUUGUGACUCAAUGCCUAAAAACUUGGUUUCUGUUGUUUCGGAAACGACUCGGACAUGAAUUCCAGUGAAUCUCAAGAGAACAUUCUCGUUUAUUUAUUUUUUCUGUAUUUAAUUAACUUAUUUAUUAUUAUUUAUUCCAAGCAUUUCAAUGAAAGCCACUUUUUAUUAGCAUUUAUACAUAAGUGAUGUUUUACAAUGUUUAUUUAUGAACUUUUGCCAUGGAUGUCCCGUAGCUACACAAUGAACUCAGAUCUUCAAAGAAACACAGAGUUGACCGGACAUAUGAAUAGGGAAGAAGAAAAAGAAACGUAGAAUUGGUGCGGUCAGAAAUGUGACAAUGUCUUCAGAAUUUCUAGUCAGUGUUUCACCUCAUUUAUAACAUUGCUCAAUGUGUAGUCUGAUGUUGUUGUUUUACAGAUGAAUAUCUAUUUA